AAUAAGAUCAUUUUUUAGUUUUUUAUAUAAUAUUUUGACUCUUCAUCUUAUUUAAAAUUUUCUGUGAUUAAUAUUUUUAUUCUUACUAGAUGAUAAAACAUGAAUAGUAUUUUAUGCGUGACUAAAUUUUUUAAGUUUUUUACAAAUUAUUUAAAUAAGACGAAUGGUCAAACGUUUGAUAUGAAAAAAC
RNAcentral lists this microRNA precursor (190 nucleotides) under Oryza brachyantha (malo sina). Its description in RNAcentral is "MIR812 microRNA precursor family". It matches the Rfam family "MIR812 microRNA precursor family". The record is from Rfam by way of RNAcentral. Lineage: Eukaryota; Viridiplantae; Streptophyta; Magnoliopsida; Poales; Poaceae.